UGUUUCGACGUCUGAAGGAAAAAAAAACAAAGGCACCCUUGAAAAAUGUGAAUUUAACUUUGCUUCCGCUCAGAGCAUGUGAGCGGAGCGGAGCGAUCGCAGAAGGAUUUUAGCCGGAGCGGGAGCGGCAUGUUUGAAAAUAACAGGAGCAUCCCUUUAUCACUUGCUUUACAAGGAACCAGUUGGGAUUGUAAAGGACAUGGAGUCACAACCUGCAGAGAACCUCAUCAAGUUUCCACAGUGCUACCCAUCAGUGCUCCAUCCACCGAAUCGACUUUACUUGGUAAAUUAUUCUUGACCGUCAUUGCCAGCUCAUUGGAUCCUGGCAGGAGUGCAGGAUGAAGAGUGUGGAAGAUCCCUGCGUAGCCCAUAAUGGGAUUGUGGCCUUGGGGCAGGGCAGAACACAUUUGAUCAUCCUCAUGACCCUGGCCAGGAUAAGCAGUUAGAAGAUGGAUGGAUGGACAUUUGAUCAUUUACUUAGUGCAUGAUUAUAUUUCCAUAGGUUUUGCCACUUUAAAAUUACUUAAGAGGAUGUAUAUCAUUAAUUUUUAUAAUGUUUUGAGAUUUUCUUCAUUAAUCCAUUUGUAUUAUUCCCCUCAACUAAUACUGUUUGAUACAUAAAUGGGCCAUCACCUUUAACUAAUCAGAAGCACGAUGCAAAUUAGAAUUGUUUUUUUUUCUCAUCUCCAGUGGAAAUGUCCAUUUGAGUUGAAAAAUAUUAGUUUUAUAACAAACAGUAGGCUAGCAUUUUUGAAUCAACUCAAUUCCAGCAGAGCUUUCAAAUUGAUUAAUAAAAUACGAUGUUGAAUUAUACCGACUGUGGCAGCAAACAACUCAAUGCUAUAGUCUCAGGGAGCACUCACUAUUUUCGUUGGUGAAUAUUUCCUGCGGUUAUUUGCUUGUAUUAAUGAAGGAGACUUGAGAUUUUUGGAUGUUCCUUUUUAAAGUAAAGCUGACUGAGAUAACAUCAGCACAUGAUUUUCAUAUGUCCCACACGUUUAGUUUGUCAGCUUGAUUCUUCCAUUCUUACUUUGGAUAAGUGUGAGCUGUUUCUGAAAAUAAGACAAAAUGGAAAAAUAACCCAAAAAAUUGUAAAUUAUAUGUACUUGGCCAAAAACCAAGUGUGAUCACAUAUGCAGACCUUAUUGCACCUCCCAAGGACUCAGUUAUCACCAGACACACAAUAUACCAUACGGAGCAUAUACCAGGCUAGCACUAUACACUAAAGGAUCACCUUUUGUGAGAUUUCUCAAAUAGUCCAUCAAUUGCUUAGCUCUCUCUUGUUCCUUUAGUCUAUUGAUAUAGCACACACUAGUGGUACAUCAUAUAUGUUAAUGUUAUUUCCAUGUCCUUUGAAAUUGAAUAAAACUCCCAGGGAUUCUGCUGA
This is a long non-coding RNA of Brienomyrus brachyistius, 1387 nucleotides long. RefSeq lists it as uncharacterized. Lineage: Eukaryota; Metazoa; Chordata; Actinopteri; Osteoglossiformes; Mormyridae. The record is from RefSeq and is a predicted model, not a curated record. The transcript is spliced from 4 exons.